UUCCGGAUUUUUCUAUUAAAAAUACACAGAGGGGAGAUUUGUCCCUUUGGCCUUUGUUGUACGUCAUCCGGAUUUAGCUUUCUGGUUUCGCUCGCUAGGGUUUCUCUUCUCAAAUCUCAAUCUAAUCGAAGAACAGAAAAGAGAGACCAAUAGGCGGUUACAACUAGGGUUCCAGUUUGUUAGAUUUUUCUGCUCCCUAUCUGCAACAUAUUUAUCAAUAAGAAUCCUUUUGUAUCUUGAUUUACAUGAAUGGAUACAAGUUCAUGCCUUGAUGAUCUCAACACCCUCUCAUCAUCUUCUUUACCGUCUCAAAUCCAUCAAAAUGAUAGAAACGUGCUUCAUCUGUUGGCAAGAAGGGAGAUAGCUCCUAGAACAGCAAAAUGCUUGCCAAAAAGGCAGUGGGGAGAAGUUUCUAAUCACAAACAUCAGUCAUUUGUUAAACCUGAAAGUGAAAGAGUGAGGAACUCAAGACGCGAACUUCUUUCAUGGGUGGAAGCUGAGUCCUUGCGAUGUUUAUCAGCCAAAUACUGUCCUUUGGUCCCUUCUCCUAGGUCAACCAUUGCAGCAGCAUUUAGUGCAGAUGGGAAAAUUCUUGCUUCUACUCAUGGUGAUCAUACUGUUAAAAUUAUCGAUUGCCAAACUGGAAAAUGUGAAAAGGUGCUGAGUGGUCAUCGAAGAACUCCUUGGGUGGUAAGAUGCAUGUGCAUUACUCACCUUUAUCCUUCUCUGAUUCAACUGUUGAAAUAUGUGCUGAUAUUGAUUGUGGUUUUACAGGUUAGAUUCCACCCACUGCAUCCAGAAAUACUUGCAAGUGGAAGUUUGGAUCAUGAAGUUCGAUUAUGGAAUGCGAAUACAUCAGAAUGCAUAGGGUCCCGUGAUUUUUAUCGGCCUAUUGCUUCAAUUGCCUUCCAUGCUGAAGGAGAACUUCUUGCAGUUGCUGCAGGCCAUAAGCUGUAUUUGUGGCAUUACAAUAGCAGAGGAGAAACUUCCUCACCUACUAUUGUAUUAAGAACAAGACGUUCUCUUCGUGCUGUUCACUUCCAUCCACAUUCUGCUCCAUUUUUGUUAACUGCCGAGGUCAAUGAUCUUGACUCUUCGGAUUCAACAAUGGCACCUGCGACAUCUCUUGGAUAUCUGCAUUACCCUCCACCCGCUGUAUAUAUGGGAAACAUGCAUUCCAUUGAUCGUCUAAGUUUAGCUGCUGAGCUUCCAUUGAUGCCUGUGCCUCUCUUCUGUUCUCCUGAUUCAAGGCCACAACUACAUAUUGGAAACAGAGACAACACACAAUCAGAAUCAUCCGAUCGACUUCAAGUUCUUGCAAAUGCAACAGAACUGUAUGAACAAAUGAUGGCUUCUUCUGUUCCAACUGAAAUGCAAAUGGAUGUCACUGAGGUACAACAACCACAACUUCCAGAUGACUACAGGGAAAACGCUCCUUCCAAUAUGGAUACUUCCGUGUCCACGGGUCGACCCACGGACGAUCUGUUCAGAGAGCGUGUGUGUUGGGAGUUGCCUUUCAUGCAAGGAUGGCUGGUGGGUCAAAGUCAAAGUCAAAGUCAAAACCAAGCUGAACAUUCUGGUAGUGGUAAUAGGGGGGAGGUUGUAGAGGCUUCGUUAGUUGUACCUUAUGGUACAAGGGAUGUUUCUUCAAAUACUGCUUCGACUUCUUCUUCUAAUAGGGUGAGUGGUGUGAUGAGUAAUGAUGGAAUUGGAGGUGAUAGUUUCCCUAUCAUUAGUAGAAUACAAUCUCAACUUUCUGCAUCAUUAAGUGCUACUGCUGCUGCUGAGUUGCCAUGUACUGUAAAACUAAGAAUAUGGCCUCAUGAUUUUAAAAAUCCUUGUGCUUCACUCAAGGCUGAAAAAUGUCGUCUCAUAAUACCACAUGCAGUACUUUGUAGUGAAAUGGGGGCGCAUUUUUCACCAUGUGGGAGAUAUCUAGCUGCUUGUGUGGCAUGUGUACUUCCACAGUUUGAAGGUGAUCCUGGGAUAUCAACACAACAUAAUAAUAAUCAUCAAGAAAGGGCGGGAACAUCUCCAACUAGACAUCCCAUUUCUGCUCGCCAAGUCAUGUAUGAGCUUCGGAUAUAUUCGCUCGAGGAUGCAACUUUUGGUACUGUACUUAUUUCGAGGCCGAUUAGAGCUGCUCAUUGUUUAACAUCUAUUCAGUUUUCGCCAACUUCUGAACACAUAUUGCUUGCUUAUGGUCGACGUCACAGUUCCCUUCUUAAAAGCAUUGUUAUUAAUGGGGAGACCUCGUUAUCCAUUUACACAGUUUUAGAGGUAUAUAGAGUUUCAGAUAUGGAACUUGUGAGUGUGCUUCCGAGUGCAGAAGAUGAGGUCAAUGUAGCUUGCUUUCAUCCUCUUGCUGGAGGUGGUCUUGUUUAUGGAACCAAGGAAGGCAAACUAAGAAUCCUUCAGCAUGAUGGUGGUCAUGCGCCCAGACCUGAUCACUUUUUUGAAGCAAGAGCAGUUGAGGUACAACCAUAAUGCAUGCAUACAGGUUGUCUAGACUCUAGAUACUACUUGUUCAGGCAUAUGCUUUAGAAUGUUGAACAUCAAUAUUGGGUGGUUAUAUUUCAGUAUUUCACAUCUCAGGAAGCUAAAACUGAUGCAGCCAGGUGAUUUUUUUUUUACCAUCUUUCGUUUGUAGCCUUCCACAUGUUUGAGCAUUUGCUUGUAUUUUAACAACUUGUUGUAUACACCCAUAAACUAGUCAUUACAAAUGGCUACAUUUUGGAUCAAUGUAAAUUAUUAAUUACUAGUUUGUCAACUUUUGCUAUUAA
Lactuca sativa (garden lettuce) is the source of this 2783-nucleotide RNA transcript. RefSeq lists it as uncharacterized. The record is from RefSeq and is a predicted model, not a curated record. NCBI's taxonomy places the organism in Eukaryota, Viridiplantae, Streptophyta, Magnoliopsida, Asterales, Asteraceae.